Long non-coding RNA from Myotis davidii, 185 nucleotides. RefSeq lists it as uncharacterized. NCBI's taxonomy places the organism in Eukaryota, Metazoa, Chordata, Mammalia, Chiroptera, Vespertilionidae. The transcript is spliced from 2 exons. The record is from RefSeq and is a predicted model, not a curated record.
ACAACAAAUAUUUUUUGCGCCCCGGCCAAUAUCACGCCCUUUGUAUUUAGCAUGUCUCUAUCGAAAUCAAGUGGUAGUAAAAAUAAACGAAAAAUUGUUGACGAACAUCGAAAUUUCCAAGAAAAGUAGGAAUUGGAGUAUUUUUGCUGUGAAGUAAGAAAUAAAAUAAUCUGCUUGAUAUGUAA